Molecule: ribosomal RNA, 407 nt
Filed under: uncultured bacterium
Lineage: Bacteria
Description: bacterial SSU rRNA
Rfam family: Bacterial small subunit ribosomal RNA
Source: RNAcentral
UGGGGAAUUUUGGACAAUGGGCGAAAGCCUGAUCCAGCAAUGCCGCGUGAGUGAUGAAGGACUUCGGUUCGUAAAGCUCUGUUGUACGGGAAUAAAAAAAUGAGUGUACCGUACGAGUAAGGAUCGGCUAACUUCGUGCCAGCAGCCGCGGUAAGACGAGGGAUCCUAGCGUUGCUCGGAAUUAUUGGGCGUAAAGCGGGUGUAGGUGGCUUGGUAAGUCGGGUGUGAAAGCCCAGGGCUCAACCCUGGAAGUGCAUUCGAUACUGCUGAGCUUGAGUGCGAGAGAGGUUAUUAGAAUGCCUGGUGUAGUGGUGAAAUACGUAGAUAUCAGGCGGAACACCGGAGGCGAAGGCGGAUAACUGGCUCGACACUGACACUGAGACCCGAAAGCGUGGGGAUCAAACAGG